UGCUCUAGUCCCCUUCUGCUUUAAUGUCACCUAUAUUCUGUUAUCCUUUGUCUCUCCUUUCCCCUCCCCAGGCUUGCUUAACCCUCUCACGAUCCCCUUUCUGGUUUCUUAACCUGAAUCCUCCAUACACUCAUGUAUAUGCGGAAACACUGAGACCUAGCGUCCACAUGUGAGAGAAAUCAUGUGACACUUGUCUUCUGGUACUUCGCUUAAGAUACUCAUUCCCAGUCCCAGUCACUCACAUGUCCCAAGUUCAGUUUUCUCUGUGGCUGAGCACAACCCCUGUCUCUGUAAACUUUCCUCGUCCUUCAUCUGAACAUGGACAUUGGCUGCUUCUAUCCUGGUCACCGUGACUGCGCAACUGAAGCUUACUUAUCUUUCCAAGAGUCUCGGUGGUCAGACUUGGGGUCCUUUGGGUCUUGGCCUGGGAGUGGUAUAGCUGGCUCAUAUACUUCCAUUUUCAGUUUCUAUUUUUUUUCUAAUUGGAAAUUAUUUAAAUUCUCCACCAGAAGCGCUUGCCUAGGAAGUGCAAGGCCCUGGGUUCGUUCCCCAGCUCCGAAAAAAAAAAGAAAAAAAAAGAACCAAAAAAAAAAAAAAAUUCUCCACCAGAAGAAAAUGGUUGUGUCAAUCAUGGGGAAAUCAAUAAUAAAAUCUCAUAGACUGAUAUGUGUAGGAUGAUGUCAUUAUGCAGCAAGGCGUGUCCAGGAUAAGGCGUAACCUAACAUUGGAUGAGAAGGAAGGGUAGGCGGGGAAAAGCCUAGGGAGGAGGGAGGAGGAAGAGUGAGAAAAGUCAAGAUGGAGACCACAGAGCAGGAUGAUCCGGAUCCAGGUGGACUGGGACGAUUUUGUCUUGUCUAGCAUCAUCCCAUCCAAAAUGCAGUAGCCACCUUCCUUUGUAGUCCAUGAGGGCUAGGAACACUUAAUAAGGUACCUACCGGAAGGAAUGAGGGCCAGGCAAGAUGGCGCACACCUUUAACCCCAGCAAUCGGAAAGCAGAGGCUGACGGGUCUCUAUAAAUUCAAGGUCAUCCUGGUCUACGUAAAUGAGGCCCUGUCUCUAAAUAAAUAAAUAAGGGGCACAGUUUGCUCUCGUUUGAAAAUGCAGCAGCAAGGAUAACCUAAGAAACACACUAUAAACGCCGACAUGUGCCUAGAAUGGUGACAGGCAUGCUGUUAGCAAGAGGCAACAAAGCAUGAUGGGAAAUACCACGCCGUGGAGACCAAGCCAACCGCUCGUCCCUACCCUCGGAGAAUGUCUAUGGCUGAGAAAUAACCCUGUCCAUCUCGCCUCAUCUGCUGUUCGAUGGAUUUUUCUGCCACGUCUGUGUCUUCAAUGAGACAUUUAGGUAGACGAGGACCAUUGAUCCAUAUCCUAGCUCGAGUUGAUCAAAGGGAACAAACUCCAACAGCAUCAGGUGUCGGUGCCCGCACUCCUUUCCUGUCCAGCAAGCAUGAGAGACUUGCUUUCACAUCCCUUCCUUUGGCUGGAGAGAUGGCUCAGUGGUUAAGAGCACUGACUGUUCUUGAAAAGGUCAUAAGUUCCAAUCCCCACAACCGCACAGUGGCUCACAACCAUAUUUAAUGAGAUUUUCUGGUGUGUCUAAAGACAGCUACAGUGUACUUAUACAUAAUAAAUAAAUCUUUAAAAAAAAAA
Non-coding RNA from Rattus norvegicus (Norway rat), 1653 nucleotides. The record is from RefSeq and is a predicted model, not a curated record. Lineage: Eukaryota; Metazoa; Chordata; Mammalia; Rodentia; Muridae.